Long non-coding RNA from Hemicordylus capensis (graceful crag lizard), 1127 nucleotides. RefSeq lists it as uncharacterized. The record is from RefSeq and is a predicted model, not a curated record. Lineage: Eukaryota; Metazoa; Chordata; Lepidosauria; Squamata; Cordylidae. The transcript has 3 exons.
UGCAGGAGGAGAAGCAGCAUCUCACAGGGGUAGCUUGUUUCUCCUCCUCCAGUCCCAAAAAGAGAUGGGAUAAUCAUGGCAAAGCAGUUGUGCUCCUUUUACAUAUACAAAUGAGUGGGAAGGCUGCCAGACUUAAUUCUAGAGACAGUAGGAGAAAAGAUACAAGGUUACCUGGAGAAGAAUCUUCACCCUGGAAAUUGGUCAACUUGAACAGUAAAUUACAAAUGGACGGCAGUAAGACAACCUUAAUAUUGGAAAUAAUCUGGAAAAGCUAAAACUACAACCCUACAACCAUAGAUUCUGCCAAGUUUAAGAAAAUAUACUCAUUACAAAAUCAUGAUGCAAGGAAGGAGGAAGUAUAAAUGAUCACAAGUGGUCACCAUCAACAUGGAGGUAAGUGCUUAAGAGGUAAAUCCUUUCUUGCCAAAGCAAAUGGCUACUUGAGUUCUUUUCAGGACCAUUGCCUUUUUCAAAUCAAUCUCAGAAGACAUCUUUCAUAAUUGAAGGUUGUGCUGACCAUUUUGAUUACUGUUUUGUAGACUGAAAGGUAAUUUUCCAGUUCACUAGGAACUGUAACCUAUCUCUUCUCACGAGAGAAAAAGAUAUACUUCUCUAAGGUAAGUAAAGAAUAGUCCAUUGUCUUACAUGGGAGCAGACUUUUGCAGAUAACACGAUUGGUGGGGGGCGGGAUCUGUGCCUUCACUUGAAAAGCAUAAAACAAUUCAUGGUUUCCUGAAUGCUGAAGAAAGCAACAAACUUGUAACAAAAAGUCUGGUGUAAGGAACAUUAGAAUUGUUGCUUUGCUUCAGGAUAUGUAAAAUAUCACCAACAUGGAAAUAAGAUGAAGGUAAAGUGUGCUGUCAAGUCGAUUUUGACUCAUGGCCCCCACAGAGCCCUGUGUUUUUCUUUGGUAGGAUACAGGAGGGGUUUACCAUUGCCGCCUCCCAUGCAGUAUGAGAUGAUGCCUCAGUGCCAGCUCCUCUGGGUCCUGCCGGCAUUCCCCCUCCCAGUAUGGCCCAGUGGUGGCAGCCCGGCCAUUUGUGUGACCUCCACACAUGCUGCUGCUGUAGUGGAGCUGCCGCCACUAAGGUGUCCUCUUGCCCGCCCUUUCAAUCCCUUUAGAGUAG